RNAcentral lists this transfer RNA (73 nucleotides) under Eukaryota sp. BB2. RNAcentral's name for it is "tRNA-Ala". It matches the Rfam family "tRNA". Rfam says of the family: Transfer RNA (tRNA) molecules are approximately 80 nucleotides in length. Their secondary structure includes four short double-helical elements and three loops (D, anti-codon, and T loops). The record is from RNAcentral.
GGGGGUGUAAUUCAAUUGGCAGAAUGUAUGCUUUGCACGCAUAACGUUAACGGUUCAAGUCCGUUCAUCUCCA